Molecule: RNA transcript, 1569 nt
Organism: Brachypodium distachyon (stiff brome)
Lineage: Eukaryota; Viridiplantae; Streptophyta; Magnoliopsida; Poales; Poaceae
Gene name: THO complex subunit 6
Exons: 11
Source: RefSeq, a predicted model, not a curated record
GCUGCUGGAAGCAGAAGCAGAAGCCGAAAUAUCAGCCAGCAGCAAGAACCGCGAGGAGAUGGCCACGGCGACGGCGACGGCGCAGGCGCAGGCGCAGCCAGCAAUGGACGCGCGCGAGUGGGACGAGGCGGCGUACCGGCGGGGCAUCCUGCGGGAGCGCGACCUCUCCUGCCGCACCCUCUUCCGCGCCGUCUUCUUCGACCAGCGCGACGACCCCGACCCCGACGUCCUCCUCGCCGCCGCCUCCAGCGACGGCUCCCUCGCGUCCUUCUCCCUUUCCUCCUGCAUCUCAUCCUCCGCCCCCACCCACGCCGCUCCUCAGGUGAAUACUUCUUCUUCUAUAUGCCCAGUUUUGUCUGUUGGUGCCAUGGGGUUGGCGACGAAGGGAACUCUCAAAAUGGGAAACUUGCAACGUGAUUCAUUUGUUGCGACAGCUGCGGGGAUGAUGGCCGCAUUCGGGGCUGGAGAUGGCACGAGAUGCAGAGCUGCCUUGUGCCGCUCUCUCUGCAAGGGGAUCAUCUGGAACCAGUACUUGACUUGGUUAACCCUCAGCAUGAAGGUCCUUGGGGUGCCCGCUCUCCAAUACCGGAAAAUAAUGCCAUUGCAAUUAGCAAACAGGAUGGAUCUGUUUUUGCAGCAGCUGGUGAUGCAUGUGCUUAUUGCUGGGAUGUGGUAUGUAUUCUCUGAGGAGAGUGGCAAGUGUAAAAUGACAUUUAAGGGGCAUACUGACUAUUUGCACAGCAUCGCAGUUCGUGAGGCAAACCACCAGCUAUAUUGGAUAGACUUGUGCUCUUUUCAGGUGGUAACAGGAUCAGAAGAUGGGACAGCCCGUAUCUGGGAUUGCAGAAGUGGGAAGUGUACACAGACGAUACAUCCAGUACAGAACAAGAAAUUUGAGGGCUCGUGGGUUGGUUGCAUUGCCAUUGAUGCGAGUGAAAGUUGGCUGGCCUGUGGUACUUCUAGUGGUAUAUCAGUUUGGAGUCUUCUUUCAAAUGAGUGCAUCUUUAACGCAGAUUGUAGUGCUCCUGUUCAAGAUCUGUUGUUUGAUAAAAAUCAAGCUAAUUGUGCUCCCGUUGUUCCCCUUUUCAUCUACGUCCAUUCAGAUUUUAGCAGUCGGCGCUGAACCUGCACUCUCCCGUUUUACAAUCAACGGGGCUGUUCUUUCGCAAAUAAAGUGUGCUCCUCCAUCAGCAUUUUCUGUAUCCAUGCAUUCAUCCGGGAUGGCAGCUGUUGCCGGACAUGGAGGUCUGGUGGAUGUCAUCUCGGCAUUUGGGAGCCAUCUGUGCGCAUUCCGUUGCCGGGGCCUGGAUAAGUAAUUGAUUAUCCAAGUGCUGAUGAAGCAUUGCUGUGCAAUUUCCAUGUGUUAAUCAUUACUUUCGCAAUGUGGCAACUGUAUUUUUCCAUUGUAACUGUAGUUUCAGUUGGUUUAUUGUAACUCUAGUUUUAGUUCAAUCUGUAUCAUGGAAGACUCCCCUGACAAGUAAGGACACAAAGCGGGCGAUCUAUGAAGCCUCAAAUCAAUUUAGUGCAAAUUUUCAGUCAAGCUUUAUACAAAGUUUGCUUUAGAUA